This 1041-nucleotide ribosomal RNA is filed under the name uncultured bacterium. RNAcentral describes it as "bacterial SSU rRNA". It matches the Rfam family "Bacterial small subunit ribosomal RNA", at positions 23 to 1104 of the family's 1533-position model. The record is from RNAcentral.
CUCAGGAUGAACGCUGGCGGUCUGCUUAACACAUGCAAGUCGAACGGGCAGUAGAAAUACUCCAGUGGCGGACGGGUGAGUAACGCGUGAGAAUCUACCUUCUGGUCGGGGACAACCACUGGAAACGGUGGCUAAUACCGGAUAUGCCGCAACGUGAAAGAUUUAUCGCCAGAAGAGGAGCUCGCGUCUGAUUAGCUAGUUGGUAGGGUAAAAGCCUACCAAGGCAUCGAUCAGUAGCUGGUCUGAGAGGACGAUCAGCCACACUGGGACUGAGACACGGCCCAGACUCCUACGGGAGGCAGCAGUGGGGAAUUUUCCGCAAUGGGCGAAAGCCUGACGGAGCAAGACCGCGUGAGGGAAGAAGGCUCUUGGGUCGUAAACCUCUUUUGUUAGGGAAGAACACAAUGACGGUACCUAACGAAUCAGCCUCGGCUAACUCCGUGCCAGCAGCCGCGGUAAUACGGAGGAGGCAAGCGUUAUCCGGAAUUAUUGGGCGUAAAGCGUCCGCAGGUGGCGAUUCAAGUCUGCGGUCAAAGACUGGGGCUUAACCCUGGAAAGGCCGUGGAAACUGAAGAGCUAGAGUGCAGUAGGGGUAGAGGGAAUUCCCGGUGUAGCGGUGAAAUGCGUAGAGCUCGGGAAGAACAUCGGUGGCGAAAGCGCUCUGCUGGACUGCAACUGACACUCAGGGACGAAAGCUAGGGGAGCGAAUGGGAUUAGAUACCCCAGUAGUCCUAGCCGUAAACGAUGGAUACUAGGUGUGGCUUGUAUCGACCCGAGCCGUGCCGUAGCUAACGCGUUAAGUAUCCCGCCUGGGGAGUACGCACGCAAGUGUGAAACUCAAAGGAAUUGACGGGGGCCCGCACAAGCGGUGGAGUAUGUGGUUUAAUUCGAUGCAACGCGAAGAACCUUACCAGGGCUUGACAUGUCGCGAAUCUCUUGGAAACGAGAGAGUGCCUUCGGGAGCGCGAACACAGGUGGUGCAUGGCUGUCGUCAGCUCGUGUGGUGAGAUGUUGGGUUAAGUCCCGCAACGAGCGCAACCC